RNAcentral lists this ribosomal RNA (301 nucleotides) under uncultured bacterium. Its description in RNAcentral is "partial 16S ribosomal RNA". It matches the Rfam family "Bacterial small subunit ribosomal RNA", at positions 509 to 809 of the family's 1533-position model. The record is from RNAcentral.
CAGUCGCCGCGGUAAUACGAAGGGUGCAAGCGUUACUCGGAAUUACUGGGCGUAAAGCGUGCGUAGGUGGUGGUUUAAGUCCGUUGUGAAAGCCCUGGGCUCAACCUGGGAAUUGCAGUGGAUACUGGGUCACUAGAGUGUGGUAGAGGAUGGUGGAAUUUCCGGUGUAGCAGUGAAAUGCGUAGAGAUCGGAAGGAACAUCUGUGGCGAAGGCGACUAUCUGGGCCAACACUGACACUGAGGCACGAAAGCGUGGGGAGCAAACAGGAUUAGAUACCCCAGUAGUCCCUGUCUCUUAUAU